UGCAAUGGAGUUUUCACUUGC
Molecule: non-coding RNA, 21 nt
Filed under: Arabidopsis thaliana (thale cress)
Lineage: Eukaryota; Viridiplantae; Streptophyta; Magnoliopsida; Brassicales; Brassicaceae
Source: RNAcentral